CAAGUCGAACGAGAAAGUGGAGCAAUCCAUGAGUACAGUGGCGUACGGGUGAGUAACACGUGGGUAAUCUACCUCUUAGUGGGGAAUAACCGAGGGAAACCUUGGCUAAUACCGCAUAAGCCUGAGAAGGGAAAGCAGCAAUGCGCUGAGAGAGGAGCCCGCGGCUGAUUAGCUAGUUGGUGGGGUAAGGGCCUACCAAGGCAGAGAUCGGUAGCCGGCCUGAGAGGGCACACGGCCACACUGGCACUGAAACACGGGCCAGACUCCUACGGGAGGCAGCAGUGGGGAAUCUUGCACAAUGGGGGAAACCCUGAUGCAGCGACGCCGCGUGAGCGAUGAAGCCCUUCGGGGUGUAAAGCUCUUUCGUCAGGGAAGAUUAUGACGGUACCUGGAGAAGCAGCUGCGGCUAACUACGUGCCAGCAGCCGCGGUAAUACGUAGGCAGCAAGCGUUGUUCGGAGUUACUGGGCGUAAAGGGUGUGUAGGCGGUUCUUUAAGUUUGGUGUGAAAUCUCCCGGCUCAACUGGGAGGGUGCGCCGAAUACUGAGGGACUAGAGUACGGGAGAGGAAAGUGGAAUUCCUGGUGUAGCGGUGAAAUGCGUAGAUAUCAGGAGGAACACCGGUGGUGUAGACGGCUUUCUGGACCGACACUGACGCUGAGACACGAAAGCGUGGGUAGCAAACAGGAUUAGAUACCCUGGUAGUCCACGCCCUAAACGAUGCAUAUUUGGUGUGGGCAGUUCAUUCUGUCCGUGCCGGAGCUAACGCGUUAAAUAUGCCGCCUGGGGAGUACAGUCGCAAGGCUGAAACUCAAAGGAAUUGACGGGGGCCCGCACAAGCGGUGGA
RNAcentral lists this ribosomal RNA (845 nucleotides) under uncultured Bacillota bacterium. Its description in RNAcentral is "bacterial SSU rRNA". It matches the Rfam family "Bacterial small subunit ribosomal RNA", at positions 58 to 936 of the family's 1533-position model. The record is from RNAcentral. Lineage: Bacteria; Bacillati; Bacillota.